Daphnia magna is the source of this 1014-nucleotide long non-coding RNA. RefSeq lists it as uncharacterized. The record is from RefSeq and is a predicted model, not a curated record. The transcript has 2 exons. NCBI's taxonomy places the organism in Eukaryota, Metazoa, Arthropoda, Branchiopoda, Diplostraca, Daphniidae.
UCAAUUUUCCUGGUGUCGUUUGCUCCGUUCGUUUCCUUUGUCAUCUUGUGAUUGGCUGUUGAAGUUUUCAAACACUUUCCUGAUUGGUGCAUUCAUCACACACCCGCUGGAGGCUCUGACUGCUAUUUCCAAAAUUAGACACAACGACAGACGAUUUCCCACAUGUCGUGAACCAACCAGGUUUCCAUGACUCUGGCUGUGAUCGGGCGGCCCUCCCCGCCCAACAAAUGGCUAAAAACCGCGCAAUUUUUUUUCCGUGAACACUAGGCAGGUCUCACUUCUGGGUCUAGGGCUCGGCCAACGUUAAUCGAGUCGUUUUUUUGCUGCUCCGGUGGAUCCUUUUGGUAUUCGUGGCGGGUUGCCCCGUGUGUCCUACCCUUUUGUAAGAAAAACCACGUCAAAGUAUCCUGGCCAAUUUAUAUCUGAAAUAUGCAACGAAAGAAAGCCAAAUGAGUUGUGUCCUUUGAUCGUGCAUUUCGUUAGGAAUUGGGAAACGAUAAAGAAAAAGGAAAAUCAGGGAAAAUGGUGUAAACGGUAUCUGAAUAUAAGACGUUUUACCUACAAAUAAAGAAGACAGCGUGUGUUCGAGUACCUAACACCUAUGGGGCUAAUUUCAUGAUAUAUUACACCCCUUUGAACACCACAUCGCUGAAACAGAGAUAACUCACGAGAGACUUAGGAAGCGGAAAAUUUAACUCUGGUAUGGAGAAACAUGUUUUAUGAAAUUUCAACGCAGAACGAAUUGUUCUGCGGCUCAGUUGUUUCAAGGUGUUGACUUCUUUUGUUUCAAAAUCCGUGGAAAACCCUGCCGCAUUCAGCGCUGAGAGUGCAAACGUAUGAGCAGCUGUAAUUUGAUUUGUAUCCACAGCACGGAAUGCUCUCAUCACAAUGCUAUCGUCUGGAACAUAUCCAAGAUGAAGUAUAUGUUGAAAGGCCUUGGGAUUAAAUCGUAACGCAAGAUGCAUCACUUCACCCAACUCCUUUGGUCUAGAAUACAAACAAUCAACUGUCAAA